ACGAACGCUGGCGGCGUGCUUAACACCUGCAAGUCGAACGGUGAAGCGCCUUCCUUUUUGGUGGGUGUGGAUGAGUGGCGAACGGGUGAGUAACACGUGAGUAACCUGCCCCCUUCUUCUGGAUAACCGCAUGAAAGUGUGGCUAAUACGGGAUAUUCUGGGUCUGUCGCAUGAUGGGUCUGGGAAAGAUAUUGUUUCGGUGGGGGAUGGGCUCGCGGCCUAUCAGCUUGUUGGUGGGGUGAUGGCCUACCAAGGCGGUGACGGGUAGCCGGCCUGAGAGGGUGGACGGUCACACGGGGACUGAGACACGGCCCAGACUCCUACGGGAGGCAGCAGUGGGGAAUAUUGCACAAUGGGCGCAAGCCUGAUGCAGCGACGCCGCGUGAGGGAUGGAGGCCUUCGGGUUGUGAACCUCUUUCGCCAGUGAAGCAGGCCUGCCUCGUUUGUGGGUGGGUUGACGGUAGCUGGAUAAGAAGCGCCGGCUAACUACGUG
Molecule: ribosomal RNA, 493 nt
Filed under: uncultured bacterium
Lineage: Bacteria
Description: partial 16S ribosomal RNA
Rfam family: Bacterial small subunit ribosomal RNA
Source: RNAcentral